RNAcentral lists this ribosomal RNA (497 nucleotides) under uncultured bacterium. RNAcentral's name for it is "partial 16S ribosomal RNA". It matches the Rfam family "Bacterial small subunit ribosomal RNA", at positions 28 to 507 of the family's 1533-position model. The record is from RNAcentral.
GAUGAACGCUGGCGGCGUGCCUAAUACAUGCAAGUCGAGCGAACGGACGAGAAGCUUGCUUCUCUGAUGUUAGCGGCGGACGGGUGAGUAACACGUGGAUAACCUACCUAUAAGACUGGGAUAACUUCGGGAAACCGGAGCUAAUACCGGAUAAUAUUUUGAACCGCAUGGUUCAAAAGUGAAAGACGGUCUUGCUGUCACUUAUAGAUGGAUCCGCGCUGCGUUAGCUAGUUGGUAAGGUAACGGCUUACCAAGGCAACGAUGCAUAGCCAACCUGAGAGGGUGAUCGGCCACACUGGAACUGAGACACGGUCCAGACUCCUACGGGAGGCAGCAGUAGGGAAUCUUCCGCAAUGGGCGAAAGCCUGACGGAGCAACGCCGCGUGAGUGAUGAAGGUCUUCGGAUCGUAAAACUCUGUUAUUAGGGAAGAACAUAUGUGUAAGUAACUGUGCACAUCUUGACGGUACCUAAUCAGAAAGCCACGGCUAACUACGUG